ACGGGAGGCAGCAGUAGGGAAUUUUCGGCAAUGGGGGCAACCCUGACCUAGCAACGCCGCGUGAAGGAAGAAGGCCUUCGGGUUGUAAACUUCUUUUAUGAGGGACGAAGGACGUGACGGUACCUCAUGAAUAAGCCACGGCUAAUUACGUGCCAGCAGCCGCGGUAAUACGUAGGUGGCAAGCGUUAUCCGGAUUUACUGGGUGUAAAGGGCGCGUAGGCGGGGAUGCAAGUCAGAUGUGAAAUCCAUGGGCUCAACUCAUGAACUGCAUUUGAAACUGUAUCUCUUGAGUGCUGGAGAGGUAGAUGGAAUUCCUAGUGUAGCGGUGAAAUGCGUAGAUAUUAGGAAGAACACCAGUGGCGAAGGCGAUCUACUGGACAGUAACUGACGCUGAGGCGCGAAAGCGUGGGGAGCAAACAGGAUUAGAUACCCUGGUA
Molecule: ribosomal RNA, 437 nt
Filed under: uncultured Oscillospiraceae bacterium
Lineage: Bacteria; Bacillati; Bacillota; Clostridia; Eubacteriales; Oscillospiraceae
Description: partial 16S ribosomal RNA
Rfam family: Bacterial small subunit ribosomal RNA
Source: RNAcentral